AUGAAUUGGAUAAGUUGGAACUGUUGAGGGGCGGGGAAUCCCGUGACAGUUCGAGAUCUCGCGUCACUGGUUAGGACGCAUUCCUCGAGGCUUGUUUUCCUUUGUGAGACUAGGCAAAGUAAAGAAAAAAUGUAUCGCCUUAGGAACAGAUUAGGUCUUUCCGGUUUUGAAGCAAUCAGUUGUAAUGGUCGUAGUGGUGGUUUAGCGCUUUUUUGGCAUGAGUCUAUGUACGUCGAUGUUCAGGAAGCCAAUGAAAGAUUGAUUGAUGUGUACCUCUGUGUCUCGGCUGAUGCACCACUUUGGCGGGCUACAUUUGUGUACGAAGAACCACGUAUGGAGAACCAACACCUUACGUGGAACAAACUCAGGAAUCUGCAUGCACAAAGCUCGCUACCAUAG
Molecule: ribosomal RNA, 399 nt
Filed under: Triticum aestivum (bread wheat)
Lineage: Eukaryota; Viridiplantae; Streptophyta; Magnoliopsida; Poales; Poaceae
Description: partial small subunit ribosomal RNA
Source: RNAcentral